Erwinia mallotivora is the source of this 118-nucleotide regulatory RNA element. It matches the Rfam family "Insertion sequence IS1222 ribosomal frameshifting element". From Rfam's summary of the family: This family represents the insertion sequence IS1222 ribosomal frameshifting element. The record is from Rfam. NCBI's taxonomy places the organism in Bacteria, Pseudomonadati, Pseudomonadota, Gammaproteobacteria, Enterobacterales, Erwiniaceae.
GGCACUUCAGGUGGCUCUGGGGCGAAAGUACUGACGACAGACCAGAAGCGGUAAGCCGUUGAGUUUAUGUAUGAUGCGACCGGUCUGCCGCAACGUCGUGCCUGUCAACCUGCCGUUA